Long non-coding RNA from Megalobrama amblycephala (Wuchang bream), 822 nucleotides. RefSeq lists it as uncharacterized. The record is from RefSeq and is a predicted model, not a curated record. Lineage: Eukaryota; Metazoa; Chordata; Actinopteri; Cypriniformes; Xenocyprididae. The transcript is spliced from 4 exons.
UAGGAAUUCUAUCCGUGUUAAAAAGGCUGUGUGAGCGAACUAUCUAUCUGUGUUCAGCAAAAUAAAAGGAUUAACUGUACAAAAGAUUCAUACGCACACAUGAUUCCACCUGAGCUCAGCAGAGGCCCAUGACAGGACAGUGCAGAGGCACAGCUGACGGGGCUCUUUGCUUGUUCCUGACGCUCUUUCCCGAAGGGGCCCUGUACAUGGAGUCAUUCAGUGGCCGGGGCCAUAAAUGAGGGCCGCGCCAGCGCUCAGCACUGCUUAUUCUAAAAGGACGCAAGGACCUUGGAGCGCAGCCAAAAUGCCUGGAACAAAAGGUAACAAGACGGAUAAGAAAUCCACCACCAAGCAACCUCAGAGUCCUAAGGAGCAGCCGAAGAAAGCUGAUCAGAAAGGAGAUGACGCCAAAAAGCAAGGAGGACAGCCGAAGGGAGAGAAGCAAUAAUUUCCAGGCCUUCGUGAAGCUGGCUCUGGAGACUCUCCUGGGCUCUUGUCGACGCAAGCAUGAGGGCCCCCGCGGUAGGCAGGGCUGAGAUUUGCUCCUCCCACCAUCCAGCCAAUCAACAGCAUCCAUCUGACUAUCGCUAGACAGAGCUUGGCCUAAGCCUCCAUCAUCUGUCCCUUCUGUACCUUCUCACACGGGUCUCAGGUCUGAAUAACGCCGCUGAUUUGCUCAUUGGAAGUCGGGCUAAUAUCCCACGAUACCAGAGACUCUGUGACCCCGCCCUCAUCUGCUCACAUUUGACUCCGCCCGUGUCAUAGUUCUCAACUGUGCUGUACAUAAAUGAAAAUAAACAUAAUUUCAUACACUUGCCAUAA